GACACAGCGCUCCUCCCCCGAACGAGGUCCCGAUCCGUUCCUCCCCCUCUCCCGUGGAUACGCCGCCGCCGCCGAUCUGCCAAUCCGGGCAGCGCAGCCACUGCAGCCGAUCUGCCGAUCCGGGCAGCGCAGCCGCCGCCGCUGAUCUGCCUAUCCGGGCAGAUGCGGCCGUCGUGGAUCACGAGAACGCCGGCGCUGCCGGCGCCUCGAAUACGUCGCCCGUCACCACCACGAUGGCACCUCGCCGCCGCCGCUCGGCAUGGAUGGCCGUCCCAAGACAUGGAUAAGCUCUCAUGAUCCCCACCCCAUCCCUCUCAUCCCCUGAAUCUGUAUCCUCCUUCAUCCCACCCACGAUCUGAUCCGGAAGAUGCCCACGAUCCGAUCCCCUGGUUUCUUAUCCGGUUAUCCCCCUCUCGUCUCCCGUCUAGCAACCCCCAUCUUCGGUGUGGCGACAUUGCUGACGUAGUCGCGACCCCCCACAAUUCUAGGCUCGGCCUUCCUCGACUCCAUGCGUGGCUAACAAGGUGGUCUUCGUCCCGAGGUGGUCUGCUCGUGCUCUCCUGUUCCUCCUGAAACGGCGAGGGGUAGUGCCGGUCGUGGCUCAGCAGGAUAGCAUAAGCUUGCCCUUGUUCUUUUGUGUUUGAAUCAGACUUGCUGGUUCUCCGUUUUACAUGCACAUAUCAAUCUUUCUUCUGUAUGCAGGUUACACACCUGAUGAUGUUUACAGCGAGGCGCAGGAACAAGCAGAGGCCGAGGAAGUGCAGGCACGCGUUGCUGACCUUGGCAGGUGUAGGAACCGCGCGAGGAAGGUUCAGCGCGCUGCACCAGUCAGGCCACGCCCGGGGCGCCGCGCCAACACAUGUGCGCGUGGUCGGUGGGUUGGCCAAUAUCUGCAUUCUGCGACUUCAUCUUCACCAUGGACACAAGCAAGGACUGAUUGGUGGGUCUUGGUAGCGAUGCCGGGCAUCGGCGGAUCGAAGUGGUCGAGGUCGCGGUUAAUCGACCAGGACGAGACAUGCAUCUUGGAGCUAGCGCAGAGGGGGAAAGAAGCAGGUUGGUCUGGCCUGGCCUCGCAAAUGAAUUGGAACUUUCGCGCAAAGAAAACACACACAGGGCAGGAACAUGGCUACUCUCGCCCUUCCAAGUUUCUGAUCGAUCGAACUCUUCGGGGACAAGAAAAUGAGAAAAGGGCAGGCCGUCGAUGUACAGACCACAGGUGCUCGGAGGGACGGCCGGAAUCAUGGUCGUCAUAACUCAUAACCCAUGAGGGGGUGACGAAGCAAGAAAGGAAGGUCGCCGAUAAUGGUGCUAAUAUCUCCGUUUUGGUGAUAUAAGGGAUUUAGAGCAUCCACAUGACCAUGGUCGACAAUGGCCUGAAGCCAAAUUUUGUUUUUGUUCAGACAAAUGGCCGUGCGCUGAACUGAUGAACUGCACAACUGAAUGCAGCACUCAUGCAAAGAUGUGACAUCUUGGUUGGCUGCUCGCGGCGGAGCAUGUGGCUGGUGCUUGCGGCAGUGGUAGAGCAACGUCGGCGAGCGUGGCGCAAGCAGUGGCCAGAGCUGCAUGGAUAGCUGCAAGCAUGCCAUCCAACGCAACACUUCAAGUAUGACAAUGUCCACUCUACACCAAGAUAUUAGUCAGUUGGGAGAUGAGGUGGUUUGCCAGAUAAGAAACAGAAUAAUGACAAUAAGGAGCGUUAAUUGGACCAUGUCAUGGUAAGACAAGAGCUCCGCCUGCUGCUACUACGAUCGGCCGCUGCCCUACGCUGGCCGAGGCUGCACAUCAUCGCCUACUCCACCAUGCUACACCUUGGGAUUGCUGGCUGCCGAAGUCGACGCCAUCUGUCGCCCCUCAACACUUUUUUAGAAUCAUGGAAAAUCUCUUGGUCUCUUCACUGUGUUGUAAUUUGUUUCUAUGCUUUACGUUUUCUUGUGUCAUGCCUCCAGGACUUUGUUUUCUUACUAUAGUUGCAUUAGCAUGAGGCUCUUCUGUAAUAUGCAGGACUACUUCCAAACAACAUACAAAUUGUUCUAGAUGUCCCCACACAUUCUAUUUCCAAUGCAUAGAACCCAAACAUAUGCUUUUCGGAUGU
Molecule: long non-coding RNA, 2092 nt
Organism: Triticum dicoccoides
Lineage: Eukaryota; Viridiplantae; Streptophyta; Magnoliopsida; Poales; Poaceae
Exons: 5
Source: RefSeq, a predicted model, not a curated record